This 606-nucleotide ribosomal RNA is filed under the name uncultured bacterium. RNAcentral's name for it is "bacterial SSU rRNA". It matches the Rfam family "Bacterial small subunit ribosomal RNA", at positions 37 to 649 of the family's 1533-position model. The record is from RNAcentral.
UGGCGGCGUGCCUAAUACAUGCAAGUCGAGCGGACUUAUUUGAGUAGCUUGCUAUUUAGAUAAGUUAGCGGCGGACGGGUGAGUAACACGUGGGUAAUCUGCCUCGUAGACUGGGAUAACAGGCCGAAAGGUUUGCUAAUACCGGAUGAGUUCGUGUUUCUGCAUAGAGACACGAAGAAAGGGGAAACCCGCUAUGAGAUGAGCCCGCGUCCCAUUAGCUAGUUGGUGGGGUAAAAGCCUACCAAGGCGACGAUGGGUAGCCGGCCUGAGAGGGUGGACGGCCACACUGGGACUGAGACACGGCCCAGACUCCUACGGGGGGCAGCAGUAGGGAAUCUUCGGCAAUGGGCGAAAGCCUGACCGAGCGACGCCGCGUGAGGGACGAAGGCCUUCGGGUUGUAAACCUCUGUCUGGGGGGACGAGAACGGACGGUACCCCCGGAGGAAGCCCCGGCUAACUACGUGCCAGCAGCCGCGGUAAUACGUAGGGGGCGAGCGUUGUCCGGAAUUACUGGGCGUAAAGGGCGCGCAGGCGGUCAUGCAAGUCGGUUGUGAAAGUCUAGGGCUUAACUCUAGAAUGCCGGCCGAAACUGUAUGGCUUGAGGGC